AUGUUUUCUCCUUUUCAGCUAAAGGGAAAGGGGGGGGGACUUGCUGUGGUCUGGGGUGAUGCUUAUAAUCUGGAGUUGAACAAGUAUGGGGAGCAUUUCAUUGAUAUGUAUAUUUGUUCUGGCAAUGGUGCAAAAUGGAGAAGCACUUUUGUCUAUGGAGAGGCCAAGGCAAGUCAAAGGUAUGUAAUGUGGGAACUUUUGCGAAGAAUUAAACCCCUUGGUUCAGGACUGUGGUUUAUGGUUGGGGAUUUUAAUGAAGCGAUGUGGCAGAAUGAACAUUUUUCUCGCCAUCAGAGGUCUUCUUCCAUGAUGGCUAAUUUUAGGAGUGUUCUUUCUUACUGUAACCUUUUUGACUUGGGAUUUCAUGGUGUUCCUUGGACCUAUAAUAACAAGCAACAGGGCAACAAAAAUGUCAAAGUGAGACUGGAUCGGGCUGUUGCGUGUCCCCAAUGGUCUGCUUUGUUUCCAAAUUGCAAGGUGUCCCAUAUUAUCAGCUCAAGAUCUGACCAUUGUCCUCUACUCAUUCAAUUAUUGGGGUCUCCACGUGUUGGCAAAAUUGUUAAACAGCUCAGAUACGAGGUUUACUGGGAGAGGGAAGGGGUGGUUUUGGAGGAUCAAAUUAAAUCUUGCUGGAACGUCGGCACUCAUAAUUAG
RNAcentral lists this ribosomal RNA (654 nucleotides) under Triticum aestivum (bread wheat). RNAcentral describes it as "partial small subunit ribosomal RNA". Lineage: Eukaryota; Viridiplantae; Streptophyta; Magnoliopsida; Poales; Poaceae. The record is from RNAcentral.